GAGAGUUGCAUUUUUCCUGCAGAUUCCACCGACUGGUCUCCUCUGAGAUACACCAUGUGGGCUCUGCGCAUCUCAUUAUUGAUCCUCAUGAUGGUCAUCACGGCUCUGAUCAUCAGAGGCAGAGGAAGCAGCAGGCAGCUCAGAAACAACAGAGUUCGUUACAUCAAGACUGAUGAUGGUGGAGCAGUAAACUAUGAAAAUGUAGA
Salarias fasciatus (jewelled blenny) is the source of this 206-nucleotide long non-coding RNA. RefSeq lists it as uncharacterized. NCBI's taxonomy places the organism in Eukaryota, Metazoa, Chordata, Actinopteri, Blenniiformes, Blenniidae. The record is from RefSeq and is a predicted model, not a curated record. The transcript has 3 exons.